UUAGAGCUUCUCGCAGAGUUCAAUCCUGAUCUUGCCAAAGUCAUUUUGGGGAAUUCUCCAUACAACUCAAAGUACACAUCUACAGAUAUUCAAAAGGAAAUCUUGUCCAUAUAUGCAUCUAAAGUUAGGAGACAUAUCUGUGAAGAAAUUGGGGAUUCCAAAUUCUCUAUUCUGGUGGAUGAGACAUGUGAUGUGGCUAAAAGAGAACAAAUGGCAUUGGUUUUCAGAUUUGUUGAUAAAGCUGGCUUUUCACAAGAGCGGUUCUUUGAUUUGAUACAUGUGGCCAACACUAAGGCCAUGACACUGAAAGAGAAAUUGUGCUCUGCAUUAUCAUUAAAUGGUUUUGAUAUUCAAAAUCUUCGUGGACAAGGAUACGAUGGGGCUAGUAACAUGAGAGGAGAGCUAAAUGGAUUGCAGUCUCUUUUUCUCAAGGUAUGCCCAUAUGCAUACUAUGUUCAUUGUUAUGCUCACAGGUUGCAACUAGCACUAGUAGAUGCAUCCAAAGAGGUGGUUCCUGUUGCCCAGUUUUUUCAGAAAUUGAUCUUCAUUAUUAACACUGUUGACUCCUCAUCAAAACGCCAUGAUGAGCUCCAUGAUGCCCAGCUGGUAGAACUAGCACGCAUGAUAGAAAAUGGAAGCAUUCAGACUGGUCAAGGGGCAAAUCAGAUUCGGUCACUUAAAAGACCUGGGGACACUAGGUGGGGUUCUCACUUUGGUUCUAUUCAUAGCCUUAUGAAGUUGUUCAAUGCAGUAAAUUUUGUUAUCCAAGAUAUGGCUUCAGAUAGAUCAGUAGUGGGAUCAAUACGUGUUGAUGCUGACACUUCUUUCAGCUAUUUGUCCUCGUUCGAGUUUGUCUUUAUCUUAUGUAUGAUGAAGGAGAUAUUAGGGAUAACUGAAGGACUUGGUCAGGCUUUACAAAAGAGGUCACAAGACAUUGUAAAUGUUAUUCGUCUAGUAUUUGCAACAAAAGAGUGUCUUCGUAUCUUGAGAUCGGACAAUGGCUGGGAGGAAUUCUUUUGCACAGUGGUUGAAUUUUGUGUGAAUCAUGGCACUGAAGUUCCAGACAUGAAGGAAACUUAUAUCAUGCGUGGUGGCCGUGCACGGCAUCAGCCUGAUCAUUUCACUAAGGAGCAAUAUUUUCGAGUGGAGAUAUUUCGUGCAACUCUUGAUAGCCAACUACAUGAAUUGGAUCGCAUGUUCAAUGAGAAGAUGAUGGAUCUUCUAUCCACCAGUGCCACAUUAAUUCCUAGAAAUAAAUUUAAAUCUUUUUCUAUAGCUAGUGCUGAACGUGCAUUUUCCAGUAUGAAGAUCAUCAAAACAAGGCUGCGUAAUACGAUGGAAGAUGAGAAUCUCGCCAAUAACUUGGUUGUUCAAAUAGAGCGUGAAAUUGCAGAGAAGUACACCUUUGAGGACAUUUUAGCGGAAUUCAAGAGCAUAAGUGAUCGAAAAGCUGAUAUGUAG
This 1461-nucleotide ribosomal RNA is filed under the name Triticum aestivum (bread wheat). RNAcentral's name for it is "partial small subunit ribosomal RNA". The record is from RNAcentral. Lineage: Eukaryota; Viridiplantae; Streptophyta; Magnoliopsida; Poales; Poaceae.